This 386-nucleotide ribosomal RNA is filed under the name uncultured bacterium. Its description in RNAcentral is "bacterial SSU rRNA". It matches the Rfam family "Bacterial small subunit ribosomal RNA", at positions 43 to 458 of the family's 1533-position model. The record is from RNAcentral.
CAGGCCUAACACAUGCAAGUCGAACGCCCGAGCAAUCGGGAGUGGCAGACGGGUGAGUAACACGUGGGAACAUACCCUCAGGUUCGGAACAACGCCGGGAAACUGGCGCUAAUACCGGAUACGCCCUUUUGGGGAAAGGCUUGCUGCCUGAGGAUUGGCCCGCGUUCGAUUAGCUAGAUGGCGGGGUAACGGCCCACCAUGGCGACGAUCGAUAGCUGGGUUGAGAGGAUGGCCAGCCACAUUGGGACUGAGACACGGCCCAAACUCCUACGGGAGGCAGCAGUGGGAAUAUUGGACAAUGGGCGCAAGCCUGAUCCAGCCAUGCCGCGUGAGUGAUGACGGCCUUAGGGUUGUAAAGCGAUUGCGCACGCGACGAUAAUGACGGG